This 219-nucleotide long non-coding RNA is filed under the name Elaeis guineensis (African oil palm). RNAcentral describes it as "long non-coding RNA (EGUI_LNC003604)". The record is from RNAcentral. Lineage: Eukaryota; Viridiplantae; Streptophyta; Magnoliopsida; Arecales; Arecaceae.
CCUUGCUAUUUUACCUCUUGAGUACAAAUUAGCAUGUGAGACAUUUCCAAUUUGGGUCUUCUUUUGGUUCAAUGAAGCAUGUCUUCUAACUUUCCAAUGCAAGAUAUCCAUAAUUUGUCAGUUUGAGUAUGUCUACUAGUAAACCACGCUGUGCAUUCAUAGAUGCAUUGAAUUCCACUUUAUGUCCCGGAUGCAUACGUUGGUCAUAUUGCCCAUGCU